This 319-nucleotide unclassified non-coding RNA is filed under the name Hevea brasiliensis (rubber tree). Lineage: Eukaryota; Viridiplantae; Streptophyta; Magnoliopsida; Malpighiales; Euphorbiaceae. The record is from RNAcentral.
UUUACUCGAUACUCUUCUUCAAUUUUCUCCUUGAAGUUCUUCGCAGCAUCAGCACUAAGCUUUGUAUGACAAGCUACUUUGCAUGUCUCAUCUAUCCUCAUUUUGAAAGUAUAGACGGAAUUCUCAAUUCGAUCACCACGGAGGACCUCUCCCAAAUUCUCAGCACUGUUGAUGAUUUUUGCUGGCUUACAGUAAUCCAAGAAAUAGUAAUCAUAGGGAAGUUGAGUCUUCGUAGAUGAAAGUUUGUUCACUUUCACUUGAAGUUCAUCACCCUUGAGGAAAUCGCGCGGGGCGACACCGGGGAGGUAGAAGGAUUUGG